UGAGUACGAGCUGCUACGGCAGCGAAGUGGGUGAUGUCAUGCUUCCAAGAAAAGCCCUAUACCCGUUAAGGCAUGAUGGCCUGUACCCGAAACCGACACAGGUGGGGUGGUAGAGAAUACCGAGGGGCGCGAGGUAACUCUCUCUAAGGAACUCGGCAAAAUGGCCCCGUAACUUCGGGAGAAGGGGUGCCACCGCAAGGUGGUCGCAGUGAAGAGGCCCAGGCGACUGUUUACCAAAAACACAGGUCUCCGCUAAGUCGCAAGACGAUGUAUGGGGGCUGACGCCUGCCCAGUGCCGGAAGGUUAAGGAAGCUGGUCAGCGUAAGCGAAGCUAGCGACUGAAGCCCCGGUGAACGGCGGCCGUAACUAUAACGGUCCUAAGGUAGCGAAAUUCCUUGUCGGGUAAGUUCCGACCCGCACGAAAGGCGUAACGAUCUGGGCGCUGUCUCGGAGAGAGGCUCGGCGAAAUAGAAUUGUCUGUGAAGAUGCGGACUACGUGCACCCGGACAGAAAGACCCUAUGAAGCUUUACUGUAGCUUGGUAUUGUGCUCGGGCUCGGAAUGCGCAGGAUAGGUGGGAGGCUAUGAACCAUUGCUUGCGGGUGAUGGUGAGCCACUGGUGAGAUACCACUCUUUCCGAGCUAGAGUUCUAACAGCCACCCGUUAUCCGGGGGCUGGACAGUAUCAGGUGGGCAGUUUGACUGGGGCGGUCGCCUCCUAAAAGGUAACGGAGGCGCGCAAAGGUUUGCUCAGGCUGGUUGGAAAUCAGCCGACGAGUGUAAAAGCAGAAGCAAGCUUGACUGUGAGACCUACAAGUCGAACAGGGAGGAAACUCGGCUUUAGUGAUCCGACGGUUCUGCGUGGAAGGGCCGUCGCUCAACGGAUAAAAGUUACUCUAGGAUAACAGGCUGAUCUCCCCCAAGAGUUCACAUCGACGGGGAGGUUUGGCACCUCGAUGUCGGCUCAUCGCAACCUGGGGCUGAAGUCGGUCCCAAGGGUUGGGCUGUUCGCCCAUUAAAGCGGUACGCGAGCUGGGUUCAGAACGUCGUGAGACAGUUCGGUCCAUAUCCGGUGCAUGCGCAGGAAUAUUGAGAGGAUUUCUCCCUAGUACGAGAGGACCGGGAGGAACGCACCUCUGGUGUACCAGUUAUCGUGCCAACGGUAAACGCUGGGUAGCCAUGUGCGGAGAGGAUAACCGCUGAAAGCAUCUAAGUGGGAAGCCCACCUCAAGAUGAGUAUUCCCAUGGGGUAACCCAGUAAGGUCACGGGAAGAACACCCGUUGAUAGGCUCUACGUGGAAGCGCAGUAAUGUGUGAAGCGGAGGAGUACUAAUAGACCGAGGGCUU
Molecule: ribosomal RNA, 1345 nt
Filed under: metagenome
Description: bacterial LSU rRNA
Rfam family: Bacterial large subunit ribosomal RNA
Source: RNAcentral